GAGACCACCACAGUGACUUGUAAGCAACUCAUUGUACUUUAGUAUCGGACUAUCUGAGUUUCUAACUUAGUAACGGAAGAAUACUAGGUGCAGUCAAGUACUUAUUAAGUCGGUGUGUGAGUCAAGAUGGAAUUGAUCUCUCUGAAUUGGUAGGAGAUAUGCAUCAGUAUAUUUUAAUUUAGCAAAACUUUGGUCAGGAUAAUUCAUGAGAUGGAUUUAAAAGG
This 224-nucleotide long non-coding RNA is filed under the name Elaeis guineensis (African oil palm). Its description in RNAcentral is "long non-coding RNA (EGUI_LNC048759)". The record is from RNAcentral. Lineage: Eukaryota; Viridiplantae; Streptophyta; Magnoliopsida; Arecales; Arecaceae.